CUUUAGCUUUAAAUGUAUUCAGGUGAGUCUCAUCAGUGAUCACCAUUGUACUGAUCAACAAUAUUAGCAUUUCAGUGAGCCCACAUUAGUAGGCUAACUUUGAGCAGGUGUGGCACGAAAGCACAAGUGCGUUAGUCCUUAAAACAUGUCUCCUCAAUACUAUCUGAGACUGGCUUUGGUUGGUUUGACUCUUUCUGUUGUGGGAUGUUUGCCUGAUGCGUCAAUCGCCUUCAGCCGUGUGCUGAGCCACAGACCCUGGGGACCAGAUGGUGAAACUACAGACACGUGUGGAUUACCAGCAGGCCAUGGGUGGUGCACACCUUCACUUCUGUGUUUCUCCUGUAGAUGCCCAGCCUUCAACUGAUGUCAGUGUGCACGCACAAGUUGAAACAAGACCUUCCACAUAAAGAUCUCUUUUGUACUGGUGAAACAUGCAUGAAAAAUGUGUGGAAUGACCCUUAAGACUCUGUAUACUGUAAUCUAUCAGCUCUGAGUAAAACUAGACAGCUUGCUGCUCAUUGAUGUAUAGCCGAGAUACUGUUACCACUCUAUCUGUCUAUAGAGGACAGUGAAUGCAUGACAGGGCACAUACUAUGGAAGCUGGUUCUACCUCAGAACAAAAAAAAAUAAAGGCAAUUAUGAGAUAGAAUGAGAUAACUACAAGUAACUCACAAUUGAAAGAUAUACAGUAAUUCACAAUUACAAGAAAUAAAGUUGAAAAUCUGACAAAUAAUGUCACUCUGCAAAAUACUGAAGGUGAACCAACUCCAGGGUAAGGCUAAAAGUAGCCUAAUAACUCCGCACAUCAUAAACCCAUCUAUUUUAGGCAAGUAGCCUACCAGGCUAGAAGUCAGAAGUCAGAAUGAGCUUUAUUGCCAAGUAUGUUUACACACACAAGUAAUUUGUCUUCGCGACAGGAGCUUCCAGUGCAGAAGACAAUACAGACAUAGAGCAAACAUACAUGAUAGUGCAGACACACAUAGGAAUUACACAGUAGAGAUGAAAUAUAACACUAAUAUAAGAAAAACAGAAAAUUAAAUAAUGCAAUAUAAUACAGAAAUUAGACUUGUGCCGGUAUUCGGUAAUGCGAUAUAUCACGGUAAUGAAUAUGCACGAUAUUGUUAUCGUGGGCUCUUCUAAAUACCGUGAAUAAUUAUAUAUUACAAGUUAUUCAGAAUUUUGAAUGCAUUUUAAGAAUACUUUUCCCAUCAACUGGUCAAAAUGCACAACACAGCUGUAUGCUGCAUGAAAGACCUGUGCGAUGUAAACAAGCGGACGAGAAGCACAUGGCGGAACAUGUGAGAGACGCUCUGGAUGAAAGCGCACUUUCACUCUCUGACAGCAGAUGGCGCUAAACUGCAGAAAUAAUAAUAAUAAUAAUAAUAAUAAUAAUAAUU
This 1397-nucleotide long non-coding RNA is filed under the name Sinocyclocheilus anshuiensis. RNAcentral's name for it is "lncRNA (ENSSANG00000003839.1)". The record is from RNAcentral. Lineage: Eukaryota; Metazoa; Chordata; Actinopteri; Cypriniformes; Cyprinidae.